GCGGCACGAGUUGUAGAUUGCAGGUUGGAGUCUGUGUGGAAGGCGGUGUCCAAGUCCCUUGGAACAGGGCGCCCAGGAGGGUGAGAGCCCCGUGGGAUGCCGGCGGAAGCAGUGAGGCCCUUCUGACGAGUCGAGUUGUUUGGGAAUGCAGCUCCAAGCGGGUGGUAAAUUCCAUCUAAGGCUAAAUACUGGCGAGAGACCGAUAGCGAACAAGUACUGUGAAGGAAAGAUGAAAAGCACUUUGAAAAGAGAGUGAAACAGCACGUGAAAUUGUUGAAAGGGAAGGGUAUUGCGCCCGACAUGGGGAUUGCGCACCGCUGCCUCUCGUGGGCGGCGCUCUGGGCUUUCCCUGGGCCAGCAUCGGUUCUUGCUGCAGGAGAAGGGGUUCUGGAACGUGGCUCUUCGGAGUGUUAUAGCCAGGGCCAGAUGCUGCGUGCGGGGACCGAGGACUGCGGCCGUGUAGGUCACGGAUGCUGGC
Molecule: ribosomal RNA, 478 nt
Filed under: Pichia kudriavzevii
Lineage: Eukaryota; Fungi; Ascomycota; Pichiomycetes; Pichiales; Pichiaceae
Description: partial large subunit ribosomal RNA
Rfam family: Eukaryotic large subunit ribosomal RNA
Source: RNAcentral